AAGAUUAAGCCAUGCAUGUCUAAGUAUAAACAAAUUUAUACCGUGAAACUGCGAAUGGCUCAUUAAAUCAGUUAUAGUUUAUUUGAUGGUAUCUUGCUACAUGGAUAACUGUGGUAAUUCUAGAGCUAAUACAUGCUUAAAAUCUCGACCCUUUGGAAGAGAUGUAUUUAUUAGAUAAAAAUCAAUGUCUUCGGACUCUUUGAUGAUUCAUAAUAACUUUUCGAAUCGCAU
Molecule: ribosomal RNA, 231 nt
Filed under: uncultured fungus
Lineage: Eukaryota; Fungi
Description: partial 18S ribosomal RNA
Rfam family: Eukaryotic small subunit ribosomal RNA
Source: RNAcentral